AUUGAACGCUGGCGGCAUGCCUUACACAUGCAAGUCGAACGGUAACGCGGGGGGCAACCCUGGCGACGAGUGGCGAACGGGUGAGUAAUACAUCGGAACGUGUCCUGUUGUGGGGGAUAACCCAUCGAAAGGUGAGCUAAUACCGCAUGAUCUGGAGACAGCAAAAGCAGGGGACCGGUAACGGCCUUGCGCGAUUGGAGCGGCCGAUGUCCGAUUAGCUAGUUGGUGGGGUAAAGGCCCACCAAGGCAACGAUCGGUAGCUGGUCUGAGAGGAUGAUCAGCCACACUGGGACUGAGACACGGCCCAGACUCCUACGGGAGGCAGCAGUGGGGAAUUUUGGACAAUGGGGGCAACCUGAUCCAG
This 364-nucleotide ribosomal RNA is filed under the name uncultured bacterium. RNAcentral's name for it is "bacterial SSU rRNA". It matches the Rfam family "Bacterial small subunit ribosomal RNA", at positions 30 to 391 of the family's 1533-position model. The record is from RNAcentral.